GACAGAAGAGAGUGAGCAUA
RNAcentral lists this microRNA (20 nucleotides) under Ananas comosus (pineapple). Its description in RNAcentral is "microRNA 156l". The record is from RNAcentral. Lineage: Eukaryota; Viridiplantae; Streptophyta; Magnoliopsida; Poales; Bromeliaceae.